AUUGAACGCUGGCGGCAUGCUUUACACAUGCAAGUCGAACGGUAACAGGCCUUCGGGUGCUGGCGAGUGGCGGACGGGUGAGUAAUGCAUCGGAACGUACCCAGAGGUGGGGGAUAACGCAGCGAAAGCUGUGCUAAUACCGCAUGUGAUCUGAGGAUGAAAGCGGGGGACCGAGCAGCAAUGUUUGGCCUCGCGCCUUUGGAGCGGCCGAUGUCGGAUUAGCUAGUUGGUGGGGUAAAGGCCUACCAAGGCGACGAUCCGUAGCUGGUCUGAGAGGACGACCAGCCACACUGGGACUGAGACACGGCCCAGACUCCUACGGGAGGCAGCAGUGGGGAAUUUUGGACAAUGGGCGCAAGCCUGAUCCAGCAAUGCCGCGUGCGGGAAGAAGGCCUUCGGGUUGUAAAACGCUUUUGGCAGGAACGAAACGGUGUCCGCUAAUACCGGGCGCUAAUGACGGUACCUGCAGAAUAAGCACCGGCUAACUACGUG
RNAcentral lists this ribosomal RNA (492 nucleotides) under uncultured bacterium. Its description in RNAcentral is "partial 16S ribosomal RNA". It matches the Rfam family "Bacterial small subunit ribosomal RNA", at positions 29 to 507 of the family's 1533-position model. The record is from RNAcentral.